RNAcentral lists this ribosomal RNA (460 nucleotides) under uncultured bacterium. Its description in RNAcentral is "partial 16S ribosomal RNA". It matches the Rfam family "Bacterial small subunit ribosomal RNA", at positions 338 to 795 of the family's 1533-position model. The record is from RNAcentral.
CCUACGGGUGGCAGCAGUGAGGAAUAUUGGUCAAUGGACGCAAGUCUGAACCAGCCAUGCCGCGUGCAGGAAGACGGCUCUAUGAGUUGUAAACUGCUUUUGUACGGGGGUAAACGCAGAUACGCGUAUCUUUCUGAAAGUAUCGUACGCGUAAGGAUCGGCUAACUCCGUCCCAGCAGCCGCGGUAAUACGGAGGAUUCAAGCGUUAUCCGGAUUUAUUGUGUUUAACGGGUGCGUAGGCGGUCGGAUAAGUUAGAGGUGAAAUCCCGAGGCUCAACUUCGGAAUUGCCUCUGAUACUGGUCGGCUAGAGAGUAGUUGCGGUAGGCAGAAUGUAUGGUGUAGCGGUGAAAUGCUUAGAGAUCAUACAGAACACCGAUUGCGAAGGCAGCUUACCAAGCUACUUCUGACGUUGAGGCACGAAAGCGUGGGGAGCAAACAGGAUUAGAUACCCCGGUAGUC